AACUCUCAACCCCGCCUUGAUUCAGUUCGAGGUUGCUUUGGGUUUGGAUCAUGACCUGUUGCUGACGGUUUCCGUCGGCUGGGUUGAAAAGCAUCAAGCUGAAUCCCUAUUCAUGCGGCUUGACCUGUUGUUGUAAGCAUCCAACUUUCAACGGGAACGCAUGUGGGCAGGAGCUUUACCAAAUGGAUGAACCAUUGGGUCUUUUAUUAGGCUUCAGUGCA
Molecule: unclassified non-coding RNA, 221 nt
Filed under: uncultured fungus
Lineage: Eukaryota; Fungi
Description: sequence contains ITS2
Source: RNAcentral